RNAcentral lists this long non-coding RNA (513 nucleotides) under Homo sapiens (human). RNAcentral describes it as "HSALNT0070614". The record is from RNAcentral. Lineage: Eukaryota; Metazoa; Chordata; Mammalia; Primates; Hominidae.
GAAAGAUGAAAGUUAAACAACAUUCUAAAUUUCAAGUUCAGACUCUCUCUCUAUUUCUUUGGAAGAAAUGACUUGGCAAGGUAAAAGAGAAAGCAACGUCCUGAAUGCUUCUAAUAGGGAUAACAUCUCACACUAUUGAGGUCAAAUAGACACAGGUAAAGUGAAAUGGAGAAAUGAGGUAAUUAUUCAUGUAAUCUUAGACUUAAAAAGAAAGCUUUCAGUCAAACUAUUUAAAAAAUUGAGAAAAUGUCCCCUUCAUCUUGACUUAUUUAAAUAAUUAUCUUAAUUCACCUCUUCGUCUUUGUCCCAUAGAUAAAAUGCCUUUUCAUAUUAAAAUCUAUACAACUACAUUAUUAGGAUAUAUUAAGUAAAAGUCUAUCUCAUUAUCAUAUAUUUGGAGAUGAUCGUUUAAUCUACGUGCCUCAACAUUCUCUUCUGCAAGCUGGAACAACAUUUCUAGAUAUUGUGGGAAAUGCAAAGGAUUAACAAAUUAACUGUAAAUAAACCAAGGCA